UUACCACCAACUUCUAAUAAAAUAUCCAGUAUAUAUCCUGAUCAAAAUGUAAAUAGCACAUGUGAGCGAUAAAUCAAAGGCAUUGACACUAUUAAGAAAAUGAGAAGAUGAGGCGGGAAAACAAGACUGUAGUAUGUUCGAACAAAUAAUUAGGAUGCCUUGAUGCCUCGUUUGUAAACUACAAAUACAAAACAGAUAUAAAUAUGGCAAUAUAAUAAAUAAUUAGUUGGAAGUUGCACGCAUCCAAAAAAUAAUAUUGAAUGUGGUAAGAUGCACGAUACCAAUAACUGAAAUUAUAUAGAAACAAUUGACAUUUUGGAAUGGAAAUUCUUUGCAUCUAGUUAAUGCUUUUUUCCUUUUUGUUUUGUGCAAUGUAUCAGUACAUGACCUGAUGAUGAGUUAGAAACAUGGAAGUAUUUAUAAAGUUGCCAUAUGCUACAAACUUAGUUCUAUUUCCCCCAUGGUGUAUAUUCUGCCUUGUAAAGAAAAAGAACAUCAAGAGAAUAAAGGGGUGACACUACGGAUGUAGGCAAGCAUACUAUAAAGAGGAAGCAUGGACCUCAAAGAAAGUGUCUAGAAUUUGGCAAACCAGCAGAGAGAACCCUGUAGGUAUAUGUUAUUAAUGAUAGGAGAAGGUGACAUCAAUCAAAUUCCAAAAUCCAAGUGAAUAAAUGGAAACAUCCACAGCUUUGUAUUCCUGGAACACAAACUAGUUCAGCUAUCUUUAAAAAAUACAGAAGUCAGACACGUUGUAAUAGGUGUAGAAUCAUGUCACUUGGCUAAUUAAGUACUACUCGUCUCAACGUGUAGAAUUUAACUAACAUCUCACUUGACUGAAUAAGUACUAUUCAUCUCAGCAUAGUUUUAUAAGAUUUUUUUCUCUUCUACUAUAUUUAGGGACUACACAGUAAACAUUCAUGUUCCUAGAUCAUAAGUAAAAGACAAGAUCUGUCUGUGUAAUUUUUUUUAAAUAUGACAUGCAGCUCACAUAAACAUCUUCCUAGAUGCAAAGCAUAGCUUCUGGUACAUGUACUCAGAGUUUUGUGGCAAGCAACAGUGAUUGAUCAGCAGAUUACCUUCCUUGCGCUCUUCAACUCCAGUUGUAGUGGGGAGAAAGCCUUAUGCAGCUCUGGGUGCUAAUGUCACCAGAUGCUGAUGGAUGAUCAUGCAGAGAACUAUGGAUCAGAAGCCCUCAGAUCCAACAAGUACUCGACCUUGCCAUGCACUGCACU
This 1232-nucleotide long non-coding RNA is filed under the name Hordeum vulgare. RNAcentral describes it as "long non-coding RNA (HVUL_LNC006846)". Lineage: Eukaryota; Viridiplantae; Streptophyta; Magnoliopsida; Poales; Poaceae. The record is from RNAcentral.